Molecule: ribosomal RNA, 395 nt
Filed under: uncultured bacterium
Lineage: Bacteria
Description: bacterial SSU rRNA
Rfam family: Bacterial small subunit ribosomal RNA
Source: RNAcentral
AUUGAACGCUGGCGGUAUGCAUAACACAUGCAAGUCGAACGGUAGCAGGUCUAGCUUGCUAGAUGCUGACGAGUGGCGGACGGGUGAGUAACGCGUAGGAAUCUGCCUUAUAGUGGGGGGAUAACCUGGGGAAACUCAGGCUAAUACCGCAUAAGCCCGAGGGUGAAAGUGUGGGACCUGAAAAGGCCACAUGCUAUAAGAUGAGCCUGCGUAGGAUUAGCUAGUUGGUGGGGUAAAGGCUUACCAAGGCAAAGAUCCUUAACUGGUCUGAGAGGACGACCAGUCACACUGGGACUGAGACACGGCCCAGACUCCUACGGGAGGCAGCAGUGGGAAUAUUGGACAAUGGGCGCAAGCCUGAUCCGGCCAUGCCGCGUGUGUGAAGAAGGCCUCGG